AUUGAACGCUGGCGGCAUGCUUUACACAUGCAAGUCGAGCGGCAGCGCGGGGGCAACCCUGGCGGCGAGCGGCGAACGGGUGAGUAAUGCAUCGGAACGUAUCCUCGAGUGGGGGAUAACCCAGCGAAAGUUGGGCUAAUACCGCAUGAGCUCUGAGGAGGAAAGCGGGGGACCUGCGAGGGCCUCGCGCUGGAGGAGCGGCCGAUGUCCGAUUAGCUAGUUGGUGGGGUAAAGGCUUACCAAGGCGACGAUCGGUAGCUGGUCUGAGAGGAUGAUCAGCCACAAUGGGACUGAGACACGGCCCAGACUCCUACGGGAGGCAGCAGUGGGGAAUUUUGGACGAUGGGGGCAACCCUGAUCCAGCCAUGCCGCGUGAGUGAAGAAGGCCUUCGGGUUGUAAAGCUCUUUCGGACAGAACGAAAUGGGCGGGACUAAUACUCCUGUCUGAUGACGGUACCGUAAGAAGAAGCACCGGCUAACUACGUG
This 486-nucleotide ribosomal RNA is filed under the name uncultured bacterium. RNAcentral's name for it is "partial 16S ribosomal RNA". It matches the Rfam family "Bacterial small subunit ribosomal RNA", at positions 29 to 507 of the family's 1533-position model. The record is from RNAcentral.